This 1428-nucleotide ribosomal RNA is filed under the name uncultured organism. Its description in RNAcentral is "16S ribosomal RNA". It matches the Rfam family "Bacterial small subunit ribosomal RNA". The record is from RNAcentral.
GGCGUGCUUAACACAUGCAAGUCGAACGGAAAGGCCCUGCUUUUGUGGGGUGCUCGAGUGGCGAACGGGUGAGUAACACGUGAGUAACCUGCCCUUGACUUUGGGAUAACUUCAGGAAACUGGGGCUAAUACCGGAUAGGAGCUCCUGCUGCAUGGUGGGGGUUGGAAAGUUUCGGCGGUUGGGGAUGGACUCGCGGCUUAUCAGCUUGUUGGUGGGGUAGUGGCUUACCAAGGCUUUGACGGGUAGCCGGCCUGAGAGGGUGACCGGCCACAUUGGGACUGAGAUACGGCCCAGACUCCUACGGGAGGCAGCAGUGGGGAAUAUUGCACAAUGGGCGGAAGCCUGAUGCAGCAACGCCGCGUGCGGGAUGACGGCCUUCGGGUUGUAAACCGCUUUCGCCUGUGACGAAGCGUGAGUGACGGUAAUGGGUAAAGAAGCACCGGCUAACUACGUGCCAGCAGCCGCGGUGAUACGUAGGGUGCGAGCGUUGUCCGGAUUUAUUGGGCGUAAAGGGCUCGUAGGUGGUUGAUCGCGUCGGAAGUGUAAUCUUGGGGCUUAACCCUGAGCGUGCUUUCGAUACGGGUUGACUUGAGGAAGGUAGGGGAGAAUGGAAUUCCUGGUGGAGCGGUGGAAUGCGCAGAUAUCAGGAGGAACACCAGUGGCGAAGGCGGUUCUCUGGGCCUUUCCUGACGCUGAGGAGCGAAAGCGUGGGGAGCGAACAGGCUUAGAUACCCUGGUAGUCCACGCUGUAAACGGUGGGUACUAGGUGUGGGGUCCAUUCCACGGGUUCCGUGCCGUAGCUAACGCUUUAAGUACCCCGCCUGGGGAGUACGGCCGCAAGGCUAAAACUCAAAGGAAUUGACGGGGCCCCGCACAAGCGGCGGAGCAUGCGGAUUAAUUCGAUGCAACGCGUAGAACCUUACCUGGGUUUGACAUGGAUCGGGAGUGCUCAGAGAUGGGUGUGCCUCUUUUGGGGUCGGUUCACAGGUGGUGCAUGGCUGUCGUCAGCUCGUGUCGUGAGAUGUUGGGUUAAGUCCCGCAACGAGCGCAACCCUUGUUCACUGUUGCCAGCACGUUAUGGUGGGGACUCAGUGGAGACCGCCGGGGUCAACUCGGAGGAAGGUGGGGAUGACGUCAAGUCAUCAUGCCCCUUAUGUCCAGGGCUUCACGCAUGCUACAAUGGCUGGUACAGAGAGUGGCGAGCCUGUGAGGGUGAGCGAAUCUCGGAAAGCCGGUCUCAGUUCGGAUUGGGGUCUGCAACUCGACCUCAUGAAGUCGGAGUCGCUAGUAAUCGCAGAUCAGCAACGCUGCGGUGAAUACGUUCCCGGGGCUUGUACACACCGCCCGUCAUGUCAUGAAAGUUGGUAACACCCGAAGCCGGUGGCCUAACCGUUGUGGGGGAGCCGUCGAAGGUGGGACUGGUGAUU